GUGAAUCAUCGAAUCUUUGAACGCACCUUGCACCCUCUGGUAUUCCGGAGGGUAUGCCUGUCUGAGUGUCUAUGUCAAUCAUCAUCCCGACGGGUUCUGCCCGGCGGGGUUGGAGUUGGGCGCUGCCAUCCGUGGCUCGCCUCAAAUGCAUUGGUGGCUCUUGGUCGGCCCUUCAUCUGGCGUGAUACGUUUCGCCGGGGGAUGGGGUCGUCCGGCCUCCUUGAAACCGCCUGCUUGCAGGAAGCACCGAUUGACCUCAGAUCAGGUAGGACUACCCGCUGAACUUAAGCAUAUCAAUAAGCGGAGGA
Molecule: unclassified non-coding RNA, 308 nt
Filed under: Carlosrosaea sp.
Lineage: Eukaryota; Fungi; Basidiomycota; Tremellomycetes; Tremellales; Trimorphomycetaceae
Description: partial contains 5.8S ribosomal RNA, internal transcribed spacer 2, and large subunit ribosomal RNA
Rfam family: 5.8S ribosomal RNA (bases 1-71)
Source: RNAcentral